AACCCAUGGUGAGGGUACUGUCUCAAUAAGUCCUUAUACCUCUCCCAUUCAUCAUAUAGGGUCUCUAAGUCAAUCUAAAACAAGAAAGAGAUAUCAUUUCUCAACUU
Molecule: small nucleolar RNA, 107 nt
Organism: Gossypium raimondii (Peruvian cotton)
Lineage: Eukaryota; Viridiplantae; Streptophyta; Magnoliopsida; Malvales; Malvaceae
Rfam family: Plant small nucleolar RNA R71
About the family: R71 is a member of the C/D box family of snoRNAs containing the C (UGAUGA) and D (CUGA) box motifs.
Source: Rfam